UUAAGCGACUAAGCGUACACGGUGGAUGCCCUGGCAGUCAGAGGCGAUGAAGGACGUGCUAAUCUGCGAAAAGCGCCGGCGAGGUGAUAUGAACCUUUGACCCGGCGAUGUCCGAAUGGGGAAACCCAGUGUGUUCCGACACACUAUCGUUAACUGAAUACAUAGGUUAACGAGGCGAACCGGGGGAACUGAAACAUCUAAGUACCCCGAGGAAAAGAAAUCAACCGAGAUUCCCCCAGUAGCGGCGAGCGAACGGGGAGCAGCCCAGAGUCUGAAUCAGCUUGUGUGUUAGUGGAAGCGUCUGGAAAGUCGCACGGUACAGGGUGACAGUCCCGUACACGAAAGCACACAGGCUGUGAACUCGAAGAGUAGGGCGGGACACGUGGUAUCCUGUCUGAAUAUGGGGGGACCAUCCUCCAAGGCUAAAUACUCCUGACUGACCGAUAGUGAACCAGUACCGUGAGGGAAAGGCGAAAAGAACCCCGGCGAGGGGAGUGAAAAAGAACCUGAAACCGUGUACGUACAAGCAGUGGGAGCACCUUCGUGGUGUGACUGCGUACCUUUUGUAUAAUGGGUCAGCGACUUAUAUUCUGUAGCAAGGUUAACCGUAUAGGGGAGCCGAAGGGAAACCGAGUCUUAACUGGGCGUUAAGUUGCAGGGUAUAGACCCGAAACCCGGUGAUCUAGCCAUGGGCAGGUUGAAGGUUGGGUAACACUAACUGGAGGACCGAACCGACUAAUGUUGAAAAAUUAGCGGAUGACUUGUGGCUGGGGGUGAAAGGCCAAUCAAACCGGGAGAUAGCUGGUUCUCCCCGAAAGCUAUUUAGGUAGCGCCUCGUGAACUCAUCUUCGGGGGUAGAGCACUGUUUCGGCUAGGGGGCCAUCCCGGCUUACCAACCCGAUGCAAACUACGAAUACCGAAGAAUGUUAUCACGGGAGACACACGGCGGGUGCUAACGUCCGUCGUGAAGAGGGAAACAACCCAGACCGCCAGCUAAGGUCCCAAAGUCAUGGUUAAGUGGGAAACGAUGUGGGAAGGCACAGACAGCCAGGAUGUUGGCUUAGAAGCAGCCAUCAUUUAAAGAAAGCGUAAUAGCUCACUGGUCGAGUCGGCCUGCGCGGAAGAUGUAACGGGGCUAAACCAUGCACCGAAGCUGCGGCAGCGACACUAUGUGUUGUUGGGUAGGGGAGCGUUCUGUAAGCCGUUGAAGGUGUGCUGUGAGGCAUGCUGGAGGUAUCAGAAGUGCGAAUGCUGACAUAAGUAACGAUAAAGCGGGUGAAAAGCCCGCUCGCCGGAAGACCAAGGGUUCCUGUCCAACGUUAAUCGGGGCAGGGUGAGUCGACCCCUAAGGCGAGGCCGAAAGGCGUAGUCGAUGGGAAACAGGUUAAUAUUCCUGUACUUGGUGUUACUGCGAAGGGGGGACGGAGAAGGCUAUGUUAGCCGGGCGACGGUUGUCCCGGUUUAAGCAUGUAGGCGGAACGAUUAGGUAAAUCCGGUCGUUUUUUAACGCUGAGGUGUGAUGACGAGGCACUACGGUGCUGAAGUAACAAAUGCCCUGCUUCCAGGAAAAGCCUCUAAGCAUCAGGUAACAUCAAAUCGUACCCCAAACCGACACAGGUGGUCAGGUAGAGAAUACCAAGGCGCUUGAGAGAACUCGGGUGAAGGAACUAGGCAAAAUGGUGCCGUAACUUCGGGAGAAGGCACGCUGAUAUGUAGGUGAAGCCCCUGCGGGUGGAGCUGAAAUCAGUCGAAGAUACCAGCUGGCUGCAACUGUUUAUUAAAAACACAGCACUGUGCAAACACGAAAGUGGACGUAUACGGUGUGACGCCUGCCCGGUGCCGGAAGGUUAAUUGAUGGGGUUAGCGGUAACGCGAAGCUCUUGAUCGAAGCCCCGGUAAACGGCGGCCGUAACUAUAACGGUCCUAAGGUAGCGAAAUUCCUUGUCGGGUAAGUUCCGACCUGCACGAAUGGCGUAAUGAUGGCCAGGCUGUCUCCACCCGAGACUCAGUGAAAUUGAACUCGCUGUGAAGAUGCAGUGUACCCGCGGCAAGACGGAAAGACCCCGUGAACCUUUACUAUAGCUUGACACUGAACACUGGUCCUUGAUGUGUAGGAUAGGUGGGAGGCUUUGAAGUGUGGACGCCAGUCUGCAUGGAGCCGUCCUUGAAAUACCACCCUUUAAUGGCUGGUGUUCUAACGUAGACCCGUAAUCCGGGUUGCGGACAGUGUCUGGUGGGUAGUUUGACUGGGGCGGUCUCCUCCCAAAGAGUAACGGAGGAGCACGAAGGUUAGCUAAUCCUGGUCGGACAUCAGGAGGUUAGUGCAAUGGCAUAAGCUAGCUUGACUGCGAGAGUGACGGCUCGAGCAGGUGCGAAAGCAGGUCAUAGUGAUCCGGUGGUUCUGAAUGGAAGGGCCAUCGCUCAACGGAUAAAAGGUACUCCGGGGAUAACAGGCUGAUACCGCCCAAGAGUUCAUAUCGACGGCGGUGUUUGGCACCUCGAUGUCGGCUCAUCACAUCCUGGGGCUGAAGUAGGUCCCAAGGGUAUGGCUGUUCGCCAUUUAAAGUGGUACGCGAGCUGGGUUUAGAACGUCGUGAGACAGUUCGGUCCCUAUCUGCCGUGGGCGCUGGAGAAUUGAGGGGGGCUGCUCCUAGUACGAGAGGACCGGAGUGGACGCAUCACUGGUGUUCGGGUUGUCAUGCCAAUGGCACUGCCCGGUAGCUAAAUGCGGAAAAGAUAAGUGCUGAAAGCAUCUAAGCACGAAACUUGCCCCGAGAUGAGUUCUCCCUGAGACUUUAAGUCUCCUGAAGGAACGUUGAAGACGACGACGUUGAUAGGUCGGGUGUGUAAGCGCAGCGAUGCGUUGAGCUAACCGAUACUAAUGAACCGUGAGGCUUAACCUU
Molecule: ribosomal RNA, 2903 nt
Filed under: Enterobacter cloacae
Lineage: Bacteria; Pseudomonadati; Pseudomonadota; Gammaproteobacteria; Enterobacterales; Enterobacteriaceae
Description: bacterial LSU rRNA
Rfam family: Bacterial large subunit ribosomal RNA
Source: RNAcentral